Molecule: ribosomal RNA, 267 nt
Filed under: Salinivibrio sp. KP-1
Lineage: Bacteria; Pseudomonadati; Pseudomonadota; Gammaproteobacteria; Vibrionales; Vibrionaceae
Description: partial 16S ribosomal RNA
Rfam family: Bacterial small subunit ribosomal RNA
Source: RNAcentral
AUCCCUUAAAGUUUGUCGUAGUCCGGAUUGGAGUCUGCAACUCGACUCCAUGAAGUCGGAAUCGCUAGUAAUCGUGGAUCAGAAUGCCACGGUGAAUACGUUCCCGGGCCUUGUACACACCGCCCGUCACACCAUGGGAGUGGGCUGCACCAGAAGUAGAUAGCUUAACCUUCGGGAGGGCGUUUACCACGGUGUGGUUCAUGACUGGGGUGAAGUCGUAACAAGGUAGCCCUAGGGGAACCUGGGGCUGGAUCACCUCCUUACUGA